RNAcentral lists this ribosomal RNA (253 nucleotides) under uncultured bacterium. Its description in RNAcentral is "partial 16S ribosomal RNA". It matches the Rfam family "Bacterial small subunit ribosomal RNA", at positions 524 to 776 of the family's 1533-position model. The record is from RNAcentral.
UACAGAGGUCUCAAGCGUUGUUCGGAUUCAUUGGGCGUAAAGGGUGCGUAGGCGGCGGCGUAAGUCGGGUGUGAAAUCCCGGGGCUCAACCCUGGAACUGCAUUCGAUACUGCGUCGCUGGAGGACUGGAGAGGAGACUGGAAUUCACGGUGUAGCAGUGAAAUGCGUAGAUAUCGUGAGGAAGGCCAGUGGCGAAGGCGAGUCUCUGGACAGUUCCUGACGCUGAGGCACGAAGGCCAGGGGAGCAAACGGG